Molecule: non-coding RNA, 698 nt
Organism: Dipodomys ordii (Ord's kangaroo rat)
Lineage: Eukaryota; Metazoa; Chordata; Mammalia; Rodentia; Heteromyidae
Source: the annotation of a RefSeq genome assembly
GAACACAGCGUGGACAUGAGGGCCCUCACUCAGCUCCUGGGGCUCCUGCUGCUCUGGAUUCCAAGUACCAGAUGUGACAUCCAGAUGACCCAGUCUCCAUCCACUCUGUCUGCAUCUCCUGGAGACACAGUCACCAUCAAAUGUCAGGCCAGUCAGUAUAUUAGCAAUGAGUUAAACUGGUACCAAAAGAAACCAGGGAAAGCACCUAAACUCCUGAUCUAUGGUGCAAACAGGUUACAAUUUGGAAUCCCCUCUAGAUUUAGUGGCAGUGGACUUGGAACAGAGUUCACUCUUACCAUCAGCAGCCUGCAGCCUGAAGACAUUGCCACUUAUUACUGUCAACAGCAUUAUGAUAACCCACCCACAGUGAUACAAGCCAUAACAUAAACCUCCAAGAAGCAGAAGUGUGAGGCUGGGCUGCCCCAGCUACUUUCCUCAUGUUUCCACUUGCAGGAUCUGUCCUAGAAACGUAAGAUAGGAAUUCUGCCCAUGCUUACCUGGAACAGCAGUUCUCAAGGUCUGAAAUUUUUGAGUAAAUGUGAUUGUAGGCUUCAGCUAUUGGUGCUGGGCUGGAAAUUGAAAUACUAAAGUAAGUCCAAACUAUAGCUAUGGAAAUACCUUAUAUUUAUUUGUCUUUUAAUUAUGAACAGCUAUUCAAAAGAUGGGCAAAGGCACUAUUACGUUAUUAUUUAAUAUAU